CAGCCCCACAGCCUCAGA
RNAcentral lists this microRNA (18 nucleotides) under Homo sapiens (human). RNAcentral describes it as "hsa-miR-4323". Lineage: Eukaryota; Metazoa; Chordata; Mammalia; Primates; Hominidae. The record is from miRBase by way of RNAcentral.